Molecule: long non-coding RNA, 1569 nt
Organism: Callithrix jacchus (white-tufted-ear marmoset)
Lineage: Eukaryota; Metazoa; Chordata; Mammalia; Primates; Cebidae
Source: RefSeq, a predicted model, not a curated record
UCCAGCAGAAGGCUGGUAGGUCACCAAGCCCUGAGCUGGCAGAACAGUAGAAUUAUAGGCCAGUAGGGCCUAGGUUUGACCGGCCCUGCACACUGGCUACUCCUAGAGAUCAGAGGCCUAGGUUGGGACAGAGGCAGGACUGGGGAUGAAAUGCCAGCCUCCCACCUCCCUGUCUAGCUCUCUAGACACUGCAAUACACCUGCCUCCCCUCAAAGAUCUAAAGAUGGUGAUGACAGUGACAAGAACUAUUCCAUUGAAUGAGAAAACUGAGGUUCAGAGAAAUUAAGCAUCUUGUCCAAGUUUGGGGGCUCAUGGGAGAUAAACAUAAUUCCUCUGAGUAGCUCCAAGGCCUUUCUAUUCCUCUGGGCUGAGCAUAGUUUGUAAGGAGCUACUCUACACAGACCAGCACUGCUGGCAUUUGGAAGCCUCCUCUUACUCUUCUGACCUACAUUUCCAAAGGACUGCAUGGGAGCUUGUACCCUGAAGAUUGGUGCCAGAUGCUGCUGUACAGGAAGCCCUCCCUGCCCUGCCAGGGCCCAUGGACACCUGGAUGACCACGGCCGGCAGCUGGCCAUGACUUUCAAGAGACAUGGGCCGCCUGGUGGGGCUAGGCACCACCUCUUUGGGACCCGGGAAGCAGGGGCUGCAGAAAUCCCUAGCAGCUUUGCAGUGUGGACGGCCUGAAAACAUACAGCAUUCAUGUCAGCCAAAGCACUCUCCAGAUACUGCUCAGUCCUGAGAAGGCUACCAAAUUGACAUCAGAGGUCAGACGGAGCUGAAGGCACUACUGAAAAGCCUAGCUCCCAGCCCUCCCCUGCACAUCCUGUCUCGGAACUGGGAACCUGCAGAUCUGGCAGCCUUGUCAUCCUGCGACCCCUCGGCUGAUGGCUUUUCCACUCCUGGACAGAAACUUUAGAAAGUGCCAGAAAUGUUUUCAUCUUCUUGGCUCAGCAGGAGGGAGGAGAGCAGAGAUUAGUCGCAGUGGGCACCACCUGCUGUGGGAGCCUCCCAGACCUCCAGGCAGAGACCUUUGGCAAGACCUCAUAAACCACGAAAUCCAGGUAGCCUUUACCAAGCCUGUCAGGACGCGGCAGGGACCCAGAGCUCUGGAAAGGUCUCGGCCAGGCCCUGCAGCACAGAGACUCCUGUGGAUACCCCCCUUCCCCUCAUGGUUCCACUUCCUUCAGACUUCUUUGCUGAACUCCCUGGUGGCCAACUGGGUGCUCAUUACUAAGUGCUCAGAGUGAUAGUAAUUGAUGCCUUCCCGUGUGAAUCCUAGAAAUGAACCUGCCUCUCGACAGAACAACAGUGAAAAUGGAUACUCUCCACUCCUGUCACGUGCUCCUUUGUUCUUGACAAAUGGUUUUGAUGCAGAGAGCUCAUUACCAUGAGAGCCGAUCCUGAAGAACCUUGUGCCCACUGUCUAGCUGCAGGGCCCAAGGCCCAGGGGGAGGCAGUCAUUUGCCCCAGCUGGCACAGCUGCUUCGGCAGAAGCAAGGCUGGGACAAGGAAGUGCAGCCAGGCAGACAAGGGCUCCAGGCUCCGCUGGGCCUCCCACAUGUCACAUAU